RNAcentral lists this ribosomal RNA (253 nucleotides) under uncultured Eubacteriales bacterium. Its description in RNAcentral is "uncultured Clostridiales bacterium partial 16S ribosomal RNA". It matches the Rfam family "Bacterial small subunit ribosomal RNA", at positions 524 to 776 of the family's 1533-position model. Lineage: Bacteria; Bacillati; Bacillota; Clostridia; Eubacteriales. The record is from RNAcentral.
UACGUAGGGGGCGAGCGUUAUCCGGAUUCACUGGGUGUAAAGGGAGCGUAGACGGCCAUGCAAGCCAGGGGUGAAAGCCCGGGGCCCAACCCCGGGACUGCCCUUGGAACUGCAUGGCUGGAGUGCGGGAGGGGCAGGCGGAAUUCCUGGUGUAGCGGUGAAAUGCGUAGAUAUUAGGAGGAACACCAGUGGCGAAGGCGACUUUCUGGACAGUAACUGACGUUGAGGCACGAAAGUGUGGGGAGCAAACAGG